Cercocebus atys (sooty mangabey) is the source of this 453-nucleotide long non-coding RNA. RefSeq lists it as uncharacterized. NCBI's taxonomy places the organism in Eukaryota, Metazoa, Chordata, Mammalia, Primates, Cercopithecidae. The transcript is spliced from 3 exons. The record is from RefSeq and is a predicted model, not a curated record.
GGCAAGUGAGAGGUAAGCCUUCCAGUACUCCCUGUGAUUUCGGGAAGAUCUUGAUUGUGAAGGGCUGUUUGUAGAUCCCAUCAGAGGUGCCCAGACUGACUUGCCAUCUGAGGCCAGCUGCUGGGAUCUGACUCUUCCCAAGAACACAAAUCAAUAGUCAACGCAGAAACCACACUCCAAAGAGAAACUGGUUCCAAGAGUGGCUAUUACUAUUUGCUUUCAAUUGAAUAUAUGUAUGUAGAUAGGUGCAAAGCCUCCCAUUUUGCCUUCAGGACCAUAGCAAAUACCUGCUUUCUGGAUGGACAAGGGAGACCCUUGUUAGCAAGAAUUGUGCUACAGUCUCCCAGCCUAACCACAAGGACACACGAGGACUAGAACAUUUGCUCUGCUUCUACUCAUCAUUGGCAAGAGUUUGAACACCUCUUUCUCAAACCAGCAGCAAGAGUUGCCCAG